GUCGUCUACACCAUCGCAUGCAUCUACACCGGCCGCGAGGUUGUGUUCGGGAAGGUCAUGAGCGUGGUCCUGAGGGUCUGGAAGCGGCUGAUGGUCACCUUCCUGUGCAUCUUCCUGGCCAUGUUCGUAUACAACUUGGUCGCCGCGGUGAUCCUGGUCAGGUGCUUAAUCUUCGCCGGCGACACGAACUUAGGCAUCCCGAUCCUCAUCCUUGCAGUGAUCGCGUACUUGGUCGGGUUCGUUUACAUGAGCAUAGUGUGGCAAUUGGCGAGCGUGGUCUCCGUCCUGGAGGAAGAUUACGGGGUCAAGGCCAUGAUCAAGAGCAAGAACCUGAUAAAGGGGAAGAUCGUUGCGUCCAUAAUCAUAUUCUUCGUGCUCAACAUAUCCUUCUUUCUAAUUCAAUUCGCGUUCAGGAGGCGGGUCGUUUAUGAUCGCUUGGCAGGGACAUUAAGCAGGUCUGGCUAUGGAAUUCUGUGUUUCUUUCUUCUUUCCAUGCUGAUGCUGUUGGGGCUCGUCUUCCAGACGGUGAUCUACUUCGUCUGCAAGUCGUACCACCACGAGAACAUCGACAAGUCGGUGCUGUCGGAUCAUCUCGACGUCUAUCUCCUCGGAGAGUAUGUUCCUCUGAAAUCCAAGGAUGUUCAGCUUGAGCAAUGCGACGUUUGACUUUUUGUUCGUGUACUUCUUUUUCCUUUUUUUUCUGUUGGAACGAGAUAUUUUUAUACUUGAUACUUUAGGCACUAUAAAAAUAUCAAAGCAAAAAUAUAUUUUCUGUAUCCUUUUUAUCCAUUGGCAAAUGGCUAAGUUAGAUGUAUGCUCCUAAUUUCGUAUAAAUAUAUGCGAUAAUUAAAUCGGUCGUCUAUUAUUUUUUGUGCCUGGUGUGGCUGAUUUGACCCAAUGUCUUUCCCAAGGCGUGUUGACUCUUUCUCCUGAAUAAUGGAGUUUUCAAGUAAUUACGUGAUGCACGCUUAUGUGGACUUCAAAUUCUUCUUGGCCCAGGACAAAGAAAAAUAGUAGGUAGUGGAUGGGGCCACGUAUGUCAGAGAGAUAAGAGGAAGUUACCGAGAAAGUUCUAGAUCCAGUGCAAAUGUCAAUUCAAUAAUACGUUUUUUUUUAAUUUAAUCAAUUGAAUUUUAAUUCUUUUGUCGAUUUAUCAACUUAAUUUAUUUGGAAUCAUUAAUAUAAAUGAUAACCGUCCUAUAUGACAAGAUCAUCAUUAAUAUAAAUAAUUUUUUUAAUAAUUUUUUAAUUUUUUUGUCUUUUUUUUUUCCUGUUCUUUUUGCCAAUGGUUGGCCAUUGCCCAUAAUUAGCCAGAGUUGGCCUCACUUGGGUGAGGAAGAGCACCGAUUACCUUGCUUGGGCGAGGGUCGACUUGGCCAUAUUUGAUGAGGGUGGUCCUUGCCCUCCCCUAGGCUAGGCCUGAAGAGGGUCGGCCUUGCUAAAUUCAAAAAGGGGAGCUCUUUUCGGUGCUUGCCCUUGCCUAGGCAAGGCCUGAAGGGGCCAACACUAGUCAACCAUCACCUGUGGCCGAUGGCUGGCAACUAGCCAUCGACACCAAGGAAAAGGGAAAGAAAAGAAAAUUAAUUUAAAAAAAAUUAUUUAUAUUAGCACUAGCUGUACCACAUAAGAUACGUUAACGAUUUUUUUCCAAAAUGGACCUGGAUGGAUUACAUUAAUAAAAUCAUUAAAAGAUUUAUAACUAAAUUAACACAAAUAUAAUAGAUUUAUGAUUUUCUUAGUGAUUUCCUCGAGAGAUACAAGGUAAUGAUUUUUUCGUAUUAAUUAUCACUAUUGUGUGCUCGAAAUGAAACGAAUCUCUUAAAGAUUUAUUUUUCAAAAUUAGCGUUGGUCAAUUUAAAUUUCUUCUUCCAACUAAUUCCGUUGUUUGAGAAACAAGGUUUAUUAUAGAAUUGCGCACUCCUAAAUGUUAGCUUCGACGUGAUUUUUUACUUUUUAUUGAUGUGCAUUAAUUACAAGGAGCAACCUAAUCUAAAGCACAUUCUUUCGAGAAAAUAUUAGGUGAUCCUGAACCAUCAUGUCAGCGUGGUCUCCGAUCACUAGGAAGCGACACAUGGAGGUGUGGGACCGGCUCACCAGCAAAAGAAUUUAUGCACAAAAAUAAUUUCAUUUCUCCCUCACUAGCCUGCACACGCUAGCCCCUAAGCUCUCUUUCUCGUUCUUUGCACACAUUUAUUUCUUUGUCUCAUAUUCUCUUUCCUCUUCGUGCUUUUCUUCUCUGAAGAAGAAGAACGAAGAGCAAACCUCUUUCCUCUCUACCGAUCGCUCUCAAAAAUUGAAUGUCUUUCUUCGCUCUUAGAUCUGACUAUUUUGCGCUCGUUGCUGCCCUGGCGUUCGUCAAAUGGCCGUUCCCCUGCCGUCGGCUGCCCCUCGAGCGCUCGAAAGGGAGUGAGGCAGAGGCAGAGGCAGAGGGGCCGGUGACUGCCCUCAAGAGAGCUUCGGGUUCUCAAAGUUCUUCGGGAGCAAGUAUGAGCUUAAUAUAAUUCCUAACAUAGAGAACCCGAAUGAAAACAAUGCAGAAUCACCGUAAAUGAGCAGUUUCUCCAACCCAUUUAGAGUUUUUGGAGGUUCAAAUAUUUGAAAAUGAAAUCGCCGAGAGAUUCAAAAGCAGAUGGAACUUUCAAAAAGCAUUCUGCCUCCAGAUAAGUUUAGAACGAAUGCGUUGCGAAAAGUUUCUUAUUCUUCCCCUCCACCCUCUCUUCUUCUGUCAAAAUAGAUGCGAAAGCAUAAUUCUUUAUUUUUUCUAUGGUUGGAGAAACUACUGCAAAAGAGAGAUAGAGCAUCGAUAUAGACGAACAAUCUGUGGAUCUAAUUUCGUCCGGUCCACAAGAUACCAAUACACCAUUUCACUUGGAAUCUUCUACGUGAAAUUAACUAAUGACUGUUCAUUUGACAUCGCCAAGAAUGAAAGUAUAGUUAACGUGUGGCGAGAAAGGAAAAAAAAAGGCCAGACCCAAAAGAAGAAACCGCCAUUGGAGCACCCCACAAGUCAAAGCUUUUCGAUUCCCCAUUAUCAAACACAACCAUCUAAUAAAUGUCCCCUAGAAGGUUACGUAUAAACAUGCGCUAACAAAAAUAGAGUUGGCACAAUUUAAAAACCAAGAGAAAAAGAGAAAAAAAAAAGAAAAGGGCUAUGGGGUGUUUGGUUGGGCAUUCCCAAGGGGCUUUGAGCCCCCAAAGUUCAUUGGGGGAAAUUUUGGGUGUUUGGUAAAUUUUUGAAAGCCCGUUUGCCCAAAUAUGAGUAUUUCGAAAGCUGAAUGUUGAAAGCUGGGGAGGGGCGGCAUUGAGCAUUCGGCAUUUGGAAAAUGCAAAAAUCACUGUUCAUUUAUCUUUCACCUUCAUCUUUCUUCUUCACAACGUCUUCUUCUUCCCGGCGUCAUCUUCUUCUUCCCGCCCAUCGAGCUUCUCCAACAGUCACCACCGCCGCUUGAGGGUCGCGCUUCCCUAGUGACCACUGCCUGGGGGUGGCACAACGCGCAACCCAGGCGGCGUCACCUAGCACGUGCGAACCAGGCGACGCCGCCUAAGGUCGCGCAGACCCAGGCGGUGUCGCCUGGUUCUCGCCAAAUCUUGCCUCAGGCGCCUGAGGUCACGAAGACAACGUUGCUUGAGGUCGCGGGGUCCGCGCGACCUUAGGCCACCGGAUCUGGCGGUGCGGAGGCCAAAUCUAGCCUCUAGGCGCCUGAGGUCGCACUCCCAGGCGAUGACGGCGUCGCCUGAGGUUGCGACCUCAGGCGGCCGGAUGGCUAGAUCUGGCUGCCGAAGUUGGCCGGCAGUUAGCCGGCUGCCAUAUUUGAUUUUCAAUUUUUUUUUAAAAAUAAAAUAAAAGCAAAAGCCCAUUUGUAAUGUAAAAUUUACCAAACGGUAUUUAUAUUAAAGUUGUAUUUCAAUGCCAUUUGAGACUAUAAAUUACCAAACGGUGUAGCAUUUUGGAAAGCCAAAGGCCCGUUUGGUUCGGCUUUUGGGGAAUGCAUUUACAGUAAUGCAAAUACCUUUGGGUGAAAGGGGUUUUUCGAAAUGCAAAUAUCGUUUAGUAAAAUUUACAUUAAAAAACAAUUUUGGCAUUGGUAAAAUUUGCAUUUGUAAUUAAAUUUUAUUAAAUUAAAAAAGCAAAAAUAUAUUAUAUAUAUAUUUUUUGAAGUCCGGCCACCGGACCGCCUGAUCUGGCGAUCGGACCCCUGGAUGGUCGCUAGGGUCAAGUGACCUAGGCGACGGCCGCCUGCAUCGCUUGGGUUCGCACGACCCAGGCGGCUGUCACUUGGGUCGCACGGCCUCAGGUGAUAGCCGCUUGAGGUCGCGCAAACCCAAGCAACAACUGCCUAGUCGCUUGAGGUCGUGCGACCCAGGCGAUGGUCGCCUACAUUCGUGCGACCUCAGGCGGCCGUCGCCUGAGGUCCGGCGACAGUCACUGGGGUCGAGCAACCCUCAGGUGGCGGUCAUCGGCACAUCGCAGGUGUGCACGACCCCUUGGCCGGUGGUCGUCGGCCUCCAAUCGACGGUGGCUUGGAGAAGAUGAACAGUACCGACUUGCAUUCCCAGAAUGCAACUUGCCAAUGCACCUCAAGAGCUCCAUUAAGCUAAAGUCUUUUAGACUCCUUUGGAAAUGCAAUUGCAUCUUGCCAAAGUCACGCAAAAAUACGAGUCAAACACGUUUGCAUUUGGCCAAGGGACAUUAGACCCCAAAUGAGUAUUUCAAAUGCUGAACCAAACAGAGCCUUGCAUUCUCCUAAGGGCAUUUCCCCAAAAUCGAAUAAAAAAUGUUGCCAAACUAUUUUCUAUACACAAACAAAUCAUCAUCUAAAAUCCCCUCCCCUAAAGUCUUCACUAGCAGCUUCACACUCUUCGGCUUCUUCACCUUCGCGGCGGCAACCUUCUUCACAGCUUUCUUCUCGGGCAUCGCCUUUGCAGAAGUCUUCAUUGCUUUUGCAGCGAGCUUCAACUUCGGCUUCUCGGCUUCACACCCGCCGCUUUGGGCUUGGUGGCAACAACAGCCUUCGCCUUGGGAGCCGCCGUCUUCGGUUGCCGUGGAUUUCAAAUUUUGGUCCUUAACUAUCACCAUUCGUAAAUGUUAGCUAACCGUUUUUUAGCAGUAAAAUUGCACAAGAACUAAUGGUGGCAAUCGGCGAUGGACAGCGAAGUCAGAUAGAAGCCAAACGAGUUGCCUUCCCAAUACUCCGAACUUCUCUUUUCUAAAAGAAAUGCCUCUUCUUCAAUGCCCUUUCCCAAGCUCGUCCCCAAGCUCGUACUUGUUCUUGAAGAACUUCGAGAACCCUUUUCGAGGGCGGUCACUGGCCCCUUGACCUCUGCGUCACUCCUUCUUGGGCGUGUGAUAAUGUGCUUCGUCGACUACGGUGGGGGAAUGGCCGCUUGACAAACGUCGGAGAAGGAACGAGAGUGGAGUAGCCAAAUCUGAGAGGAAGAGAUUCAAAUUUUGAAAGUGUUUGCUAGAGAGGAAAGAGGUUUUCUCUACCUCUGUAUGGGGGCUAGUGUGUGCAGGGUAAUGAGAGAGAAAUGAAAUUAUUUUUGUGCAUAAAUUCGUUCAGUUGCGAGCUGGCCCCCACACCUCCACGUUUCGCAACCUAAGUAGUUGGAGACCAGGUUGACUUGACAGUCCGGGACCACCCAAUAUUUUCUUCCUUCCUUGGGCGAUCUACCACAUUGAUAAAUACGACGAGCAACCUAACCCAUGUAACUAUUUCAACUUGGUGCAUUCCUCUUUGGUUGCUUUGGAAACACUAUAUUGUAUUUUAAAAAAUGCUAGUCAUGGAGCAAACAUAACUCCAACCCAUAAAUCCAGCUUUGGAGAAAUCGUCAUUUCAGUUAUUCAUAUCUUAUGAAUUUUAAUUUAGUUCUAAAUUUUUCAAUUGAUCCGACUGAUCCUAAAACUUUUAGUAAAAGAAAAACGAUCAAUUUCUCUCAUUCAAAUCUCAUAUGUUUUUAUAAUUUUCCAUUGAUUUUUUUAUUUUUUUUGAUAACUUCAUUCACUUCCAUUAUUCAUGUUAUCUCACAACAAAUGCAUCUUCUGCACCCAGUGAUGUAAGGAAUUUUUUUUUCCUUUUUGCCUCAAUUGAAAAUAUACAUUGUCGGAAUAAUUGCCAAAUGCAUAAUUUCCUCUACAAUUAUUUGCCUUCUAAAAGAUGAGUUUCUCUGAUCAUCAAUUCACUUGUUUUCUCGUCCGCCUCCUUUUUCACAACAUAAAACUACACUGAGCCAACCAAAAUUUUGUGACUUGUACAAUACUCCAAAUCUACAAGCCCAAUAUCUUCUAUUGAUCAUGCUGAGGAUGCAUCGUCCAAAUCAUAUGAUGGCAUAACCUUCUUCGACUUAUAGAUAAAAUCAUCGAAUGUACAAAUCUAGGUAAAUGAUAAAUUCUUUCGCUUACUCUAAUGUUUUAUUGAUACGUACUCAUCGAAUGGAUAAUUUGUGGUUGACUUUCAAAACUUUCUUAUUCUCAUCAGCAUGGAGAAGCUAGAGAUGUUGGUGCCAUAUUUCAUAUCAGUGUUGAUUGUCCAUUACAAAUGUUAUUGAGGGUCCAUUCAAUGAUCCCUCAUCAAGUUUUUCUCGUAAUCUGCCGUGUAGAUGGGUCGGAUCUUGCAAUAUUCACACAUAACCGACGCAAUCCGAUUCAAGCCCUUGAGAGUUACAAACCUGCCACCCAUCUUUCUCUUUCUUGGCCAUUCCGAGGUUCGAUCCCAUGUCUUGUCCCUUGGUCUCCAACCCCGCACCGCCACGGACCGCCGCGCCCGAUGGCUCUGUUUUCUCCAUCUGGGUUUGUCGGAGUCAAGCCGGGUCUUUCGCUUUAGACCCCAAUCAUCAUCCUUUUGCAUGAAGGCCUGCCGUCUUUUGAAGGCCCAUAGCUGGUUCCUAAGACCCAAGCUCGCGACAGCUCUUUUCGGACCAGAAAAGCAGUUGCCAUAUGAUAAGCGCCACUCAAAAGUGACAAUUGAUACAAAGAAACUGUUUUGCUCCCGCGGAAAAGCGGUUCUUCGGGGAUUUGUUUAUUGCAGGGGAAGAACUGGAAAGGCAAGUGAAGCUCGUGCUCGUGGGGUUCUCUUCCCUAGUGCCCCAUCAUCUCUCUCUCUCUCUCUCUCUCUCUCUCUCUCUCUACCCCUCUACUUUUUCAUUCACAUCUCUAUCAUUGAUUUCUCUGUUCAUUCUGAGCUCUGAACAAGGAGUUCCUCCAAACAAAUCCAAUCAUGGUGAAGGAGACCGAGUACUACGACGUUCUCGGCGUCAGCCCUUCUGCCUCCGACGACGAGAUUCGCAAGGCCUAUUAUCUCAAGGUAAAAGAGGCUGCUCUGUUUUCCUUUUCCUGGUUGUUGGAUCGGUCACAUUAGUGACGGAUCGAUUCGAAUUUUUUUUCACGACGAUGUUUUAGUAAACCGAAGCUUCUGGGAUUAGUUCCAAAUGUGAUUGAUCGUCUGAUCAAUCGAUUCUACUGAAUCGAUUACUCAUGCCCUUUUCCUUAUGGUCGGGUUCAAGAAAUGAAGAAGUCAUUAUCUAGCUGGUCCACUAUUUUUUUGGUGAUUUCUUCCGAACUAUGAUAAUUAGUAUAAGUGUUUGAGUUAAGUGCACUGGAAGAGUCUGCGAUAGGCUGACAAAAGGCUCAUAUGAAAUUUGGCACUUCAUUUAAUAAGUCAACUUAAUUUUACCAGUCUUGGUCGAGCGAUAUCGCUUAAUGGAAGAGACUUAGCGUUGCACUACGCUUUUUUAAGUAACCAAUUAAAAUGUGCCCCAUCCGAUGCAUCACCUAUUAUUCUUUACUGAAAAUAUCAUAUCCUAAUCAUGGUCACCUCACCAGCCUACAACAAUAGACAUGUAUGAAAAGUGUUAGCAAUAUUUAUUUGGCAGUAGACAGAAAAAUGAAAUUAGGAUUGAAAUUAAGCAUAUUGACUAGAUCUCUUGCCAUAAAUUUAUUUGUCUUUUUUGCCAAUCUUCAUCGUCGAUCGAUUGGACAAUGGGUGCGUUUGGAAAGACUUUUGGGGAAAGUCUUAGAGGAAAUGCAAAGACCAUUGAGUUAAAUGUAUUUUUCAAAAUGCAAAAUGUGUUUGGUAAAUUGUAUUAUUAAAGUCCAUUGUGAAGUAUCUUCGAGUAAAAUGGUAUUUGGAAGAAUUAUAUUUGCCAAAGGCUUUUGUUAUUCAUUCAAAAAAAAGAAAAAAAGAAGUUGACCAGCUAAGAACAAGUAGUCACCGGUGAGGAGCAGGCGGUCCGGCAAAGAGCAAGCAGUCCGAUGCAAGUUGUUCGGUAGAGGUAGGCGAUCUGGUGAGGGUUGCAGGACCCAUAUCGCGAGGCCUCGCUGGAGGUCGCGGCAUGUCGGGGCAAUCCUCCGGCAAGGGUCGUUGGAGGUUGCAGGACCUCGCGGCAACCAGCAUGACCCAGAUGUGGUCGUCGGAGGUCGCGCGACCUUGUGGUGACUAGAUCUGGGUCGCGCCUGAGGUUGCUUGACCCAUAGCUGAGUCGCGGUGACGCGACUAGUGGGCGGUCACCAAGACUCAUGAGCGGUCACCGAGCCAGGGUCGUGCGACUAGCCAGUGAUAGUCGCUGCGACCUUGCUAACCUCAGUCGUGACCUCGUUGGCCUCUCGAGCUCGUCUUUGAUUAGCCACACCGCUGGAGAAGAAGACGAUGAACAAUAGACAUGAGGCUUCCUUCCAAGAAUGCUGAAAGCCCAAGCCAACCUAGGACUUGCCUUGGGCUUUUAAUCUUACAAAUGCCAGCUUUGCCUUAAUGGGACUUCCAAAGUAGUUCACAAACACCUUCAUUUUGGUCCAAAGGCCUUCAGGCCCCAAAGAUACUUGGCAAAGUGGUUCCCAAACGCAGAAUGACAAACUUGGGUUUAGGUUAUUUUAAUUGUCUACUAGAUGCAUUUCGAGAUUGAAAAGUCCAACCAAACCUCCUACAAUCCUCUUCAACUACUCUCUCCCUUCUUUUCCAAUCGUUUCUUCCUUCUUCUUCUUCUUCUUCUUCUUCUUCUUCUUCUUCUUCCGAUGUCGUUUUUCUUCCUUCUUCUUCGUCUUCUCUUCCUCAAGAAAAUCUUUACUGAACGUCAAGGGAUCGACAGAAACAUGGAUCGAGAGCAAGAAGAGAUGCAGUUCCUCAGCUUCUUCGGCAUCUACAAAGAGUCCUACAAGGACAUCUUCUCAUGGAGGAAAAUCUUCACCCAGAUCAACACGGCCCUGAUCCUCCCCCUCGCCUUCGUCUUCCUCAUCCACAUGGAAGUCUCCGACAUCCUCUUGUCAAAGAUCGUCAGCAACGAGAUCCAGCUCGACGAGACCCGCCCCUAUACUUCCCGCCACGACAGGAUCUCCCGCGUCCUCUCCAAGGAGUGGGCCGUCUUCCUGCUGAUCAAGGCCCUCUACUUCACCGCCCUCCUCAAGUUCUCCCUCCUCUCAACCUCAGCCGUCGUCUACACCAUCGCAUGCAUCUAUACGGGCCGCAAGGUCGCGUUCGGGAAGGUCAUGAGCGUUGUCCCGAGGGUCUGGAGGCGGCUGAUGGUCACCUUCCUGCGCUUCUUCCCGGCCAUGUUCGUGUACAACGUGAUCGCCGGGGUGAUCCUGCACACGUGUGCAAUCUUUGUCGGCGACUUGAACUUCGGCAUCCUGAUCCUCAUCCUUCUAGGGCUCGCAUACUUGGUCGGGUUCAUGUACAUGACCGCAGUGUGGCGAUUGGCGAGCGUGGUCUCCGUCCUGGAGGAAGAUUACGGGGUCAAGGCCAUGAUCAAGAGCAAGAACCUGAUAAAGGGCAAGCUAUUUGUGUCCACGAUCAUAUUCUUCAAGCUCAGCACAUCCUUACAUCUAGUUCAAUUCGCGUUCGAGAGGUUGGUCGUUUAUGGCCGCUCGGCAGGGACAUUAGACAGGUCUGGCUUGUUUCCAUGCUGAUGCUGUUGGGGCUCGUCGUCCAGACGGUGACCUACUUCGUCUGCAAGUCUUAACACCACGAGAACAUCGACAAGUCGGCGCUGUCGGAUCAUCUCGAGGUCUAUAUCGGAGAGUAUGUUCCUCUCAAAUCAUAACACCACGAGAACAUCAACAAGUCUGCGCUGUCGGAUCAUCUCGAGGUCUAUCUCGGAGAGUAUGUUCCUCUCAAACCCAAGGAUGUUCAGCUUGAGCAAUACGACGUUUGACUCCUAGUUCGUGUUCUUCUUAUGCUUGUUCCUUUUUCUGUUUUUCUUCAGUGGGACGAGAUAUUUUGAUACUUGAUAACUUAUGCACUAUAAAAAUAUCAAAGGAAAAAUAUAUUUUCUGCAUCUUUUUAGCCAGUGGCAAAUGGCUAAGUUAGACGUAUGCUCUUAAUUUUGUUUAGAUAUAUGCAAUAAUUAAACCGUAGUCUAUUAGUUUUUGUGCCUGGUGUGGCUGAUUUGAGCCAAUAUGUCUUUCCCAAGGCGUGUUGACUUUGAAUAAUGGAGUUUUCCAAGUAAUUACGCGAUGCACGCUUAUGUUGACUUUGAAUUCUUCUUGGCCGAGGACAAAGAAAAAUAUUAGGUAGUGGAUGGGGCCACGCAUGUGAGAGAGAUAAGAGGAAAUUACCAAGAAAGUUCUCAACUUUGUUCCAAUGUCAACUCAAUAAUAAAUUUUUUAAUUUGACAAAUUGAAUCUUAAUUCUUUUGAUGAUUCAUCAAUGUAGUUCGUUUGGCCAAUUUUGAUGGAGAAUCGUCGAUGUAAAUACCGACUAUCCUAUGUGACAACCAUCAAUAAUAUAAAUAACUUUUUAAUAAUUUUUUUCAAUUUAUUUUUUUAUUCCCUUUUCAUUUUGCCAGUGGUUGGCCAUCACCCAUAGAGAAUGGCCGGUGAGAGUUGGCCUUACUUGAGUGAGGGCCAACGUAAGCUAUCUUAGUGUGGGCGAGGAUAGUCUCGCCAUAUUUGGCAAGGGUGGUCCUUGCCCUUGCCCGGGAUAGGAAUGGACUGGGCUUGGACUUGCCAAAUUCAACAAGGGGAGCCCUUAUUGAUGCUUGCCUUGGCCUAGGCAAGGCCUGAUGGGGCCAACACUCACCAACCAUAGCCUAUGGCCGGUGGACAGUGACUAGCCAUUGACAAAAGGAAUAGGGAAAGAAAAAAAAUUAAUUUUUUUAUCAAUAUUAUCUAGAUCGGCACUAGUUGUGCCACGUAGGAUCACAUCGGCAGUUUUAUGCCAAAAUUGACUUGGACUGACUACAUUGAUGAAAUCAUCAAAGUAUUUAUGACUAAAUUGAUCAAGUCAAAAAGUUUAUGAUUGAGUUAAUAUCAAUGUAAUAGAUUUAUGAUUUUCUUAGUAAUUUCUCUAAGGGAUGGUGAUGAAUUUUUCGUAGUAAUUAUCACUAUUAUGUGCUGAAAAUGAAACUAAUCUUUUAAAUAUUUAUUUUUGAAAAUUGGACGUUGGUCAAUCUAAAUUUCUUCUUCCAACUGAAACAGGGUAUAUUAUAGAAUUGCGCACUCCUAAGUAGUAGCUUCAACGUGAUUGUUUGUGUUUUUUAUUGGCGUGCAUUAAUUACAAGGAGCCACCUAAAUCUCAAGCCCCUUCUUUCGGCGAUCUACCACAUUAAUGAAUACGAGGAGCAACCUGACCCUCCAACUUGGCGCAUUCCUCUUUGGUCACUUUGGAAACACUCCAUUGUAUUUGAAAAAAUGCUAGUCAUGGAGCAAAGAUAAUUCCAACCCAUAAAUUCAGCGUGGGGGUAUAGAAGCCUUUGGAGAAAUCGUUAUUUCAGUUAUAAUCCCAUUCUACGAUUUCAGUCUAGUUCUAAAUUUUCGAUUGACCUAAUGUAAUACUAGAACUUUUAGUAAAAGAAAAACAAUCAAUUUCUCUUAGUUAAGCCCCACAUGCUUUUAUAGCUUUCCAUUGAUUUUUUCUUUUUCUUUUUCAAUAACUCCGUUCACUACCAUUAUUCAUGUUAUUUCACAACAAAUGCAUCUUGUGCCUGCAGUGAUGCGAGGAAUUUUUAUUUAUUUAUUUUUAUCUCAAUUUGAAAUAUACAUUGUUGGAAUAAUUGCCAAAUGCAUAAUUCCUUUUACGACUAUUUGCCUUUUGAAAGAUGAGUUUCUCUAAUCAUUGAUUCAGUUAUUUUCUUGUUCGCCGUCUUUUUCCAUUAUAACUUUGUGACUCGUACAAUACUCUAUAUCUACAAGCCCUCAAAUCUUGCCUAACCAAUAGCUUUGCCAUCUUCUAUUGACUACGCUGAGCAUGCAUCGUCCAAAUCGUAUGAUGGCAUAACCUUCUUCAACUUAUAAGUUAAAUCAUCAAAUGUACAGAUCUAGGUGUAUGAUAAAUCCUUUCGUUUACACUGAUGUUUAAUUGCUACAUACUCAUCGAAUGGAUAAUUUGUGGUCGAUUUUCGAAACCUUUUUAUUCUCAUCAGCACGGAGAAGCUAGAGAUGUUGGUGCCACAUUGCGUAUCAGUGCCGGUCCAUUAUUAACGUUAUUGAGGAUUCAUUCAAUUGUCCCUCAUUGAGUUUUUCUCGUAAUCGACCGUGUUGUCAAGUCGGAUCUUGCAAUAUUUGGCAUAGCUGAUGCGAUCCGAUUCGAGCCCUUGAGAGUUACAAACCCGCCACCCAUCUUUCUCCCUCUUGGCCAUUCCGAGGUUCGAUCCCAUGUCUUGUCCCUUGGUCUCCAACCCCACGCCGCCACGGACCGCCGCGCCCGAUGGCUCUCUGUUUUCUCCAUCUGGGUUUGUCGGAGUCGAGCCGGGUCUUUCGCUUUAGACCCCGAUCAUCAUCCUUUCGCAUGAAGGCCUGCCGUCUUUUGAAGGCCCAUGGCUGGUUCCUAAGACCCAAGCUCGUCGACAGCUCUUUUCCUACCCGGAAAGCCGGUUCCAGAAAAGCAGUUGCCAUAUGAUAAGCGCCACUGAAAAGUGACGGUUGAUACAAAAGAAACUGCUUUGCUCCCGCGGAAAAGCAGUUCUUUGGGGAUCUGUUUAUUGCAGCGGAAGAACUGGAAAGGCAAGGGAAGCUCGUGCUCGUUGGGGUUCUCUUCCCUAGUGCCCCAUCAUCUCUCCCUCCCUCCCUCUCUCUCUCCGUCUCUCUCUCUACCCGUCUACUUUUUCAUUCACAUCUCUUUCAUUGAUUUCUCUGUUCAUUCUGAGCUCUGAACAAGGAGUUCCUCCAACAAGUCCAAUCAUGGUGAAGGAGACCGAGUCCUACGACGUUCUUGGUGUCAGCCCUUCUGCCUCCGACGACGAGAUUCGCAAGGCCUAUUACUCAAGGUAAGAGAGGCGGUUCUGUUCUCCUUUUCCUGGUUGUUGGAUCGGUCACAUUAGUGACUGAGUUGUGAUUGGUCGAUUCGAAUUUCUUUUCAUGACGAUGUUUUAGUGAACCGAGGUUUCUGGGAUUAGUUCCAAAUGUGAUUGAUCGUCUGAUCAAUCGAUUCUGCUGAAUCGGUUACUUCUACCCUUUUCCUUAUGGUCGUGUUCAAGAAAUGAAGAAGUCAUUGCCUAGCUGGUCCACUUUUUUUUUUUUUUUUUUGGUGAUUUCUUCCGAACUAUGAUAAUUAGUAUAAGCGUUUGAGUUAAGUGCACUCGAAGAGUUUGCGGUAGGUGGAUUGCUCGUUUAAAAGGCUCAUAUGAAAUUUGGCACUCCAUUUAAUAUGUCAACUUAAUUUUACCGAUCUUGGUCGAGUGAUAUCGCUGAAUGGAAGAGAUUUAACACUACUCUAUGUUUUUUUAAGUAACCAAUUAAAACGUGCCCUAUCCGAUGCAUCACCUAUUAUUCUUUACUGGAAAUAUCAUAUCCUAACCAUGGUCACCUCACCAACCUACAACAAUAGACAACAUGUAUGAAAAGUGUUAGCAAUAUUUAUUUGGCAAUCGACAGAGAAAUGAAAUUAGGAUUGAAAUUAAGCAUAUUGACUAGAUCUCUUGCCAUAAAUUUGUUUGAGUUUUUUACCAAUCUUUUUUUUUUUUUUUUUUUGAGACAGGAGGAACUAGCUUGUAGCCAUAAACUCCCGGUGACGCUAGCGCAGGACCCUCCACCACGACGUCACACUUAAGACACUUAGCGUCUCUACUGGGUUUUGAACCUCUUAUCUCUGGGCUGAGGAUCAGUAGGGCUUUAUCCCGUAGGGCCACCACGGUUGGUAGUCUUUUUUGCCAAUCUUCGUGGUCGAUAAAUUGGACAAUGACUGACUUGCGUUUAGGUUUUUUAAAUUGUCUACUAGAGGCAUUUCGAGAUUGAAAAGUCCAACCAAACCUCCUACGGUCCUCUUCAACUACUCUCUCCCCACCUUUCCAAUCCUUUCUUCCUUCUUCAUCUUCUCUUCCUCGAGAAAAUCUUCACUGAACGUCAAGGGAUCGACAGAAGCAUGGAUCGAGAGCAAGAAGAGAUGCAGUUCCUCGGCCUCGUCGGCAUCUGCAAAGAGUCCUGCAAGGUCAUCUUCUCAUGGAGGAAGAUCUUCACCCAGAUCACCUUGGCCCUGAUCCUCCCUCUCGCCUUCGUCUUCCUCCUCCACAUGGAAGUCUCCGACAUCCUCUUGUCGAAGAUCGUCCACAACGAGAUCCAGCUCGACGAGACCCGCCCCAAUACUUCCCGAAGCGACAGGAUCUCCAGCGUCCUCUCCAAGGAGUGGGCCGUCUUCCUGCUGAUCAAGGCCCUCUACUUCACCGCCCUCCUCGUGUUCUCCCUCCUCUCAACCUCAGCCGUCGUCUACACUAUCGCAUGCAUCUAUACGGGCCGCGAGGUCGCGUUUCGGAAGGUCAUGAGCGUGGUCCCGAGGGUCUGGAGGCGGCUGAUGGUCACCUUCCUGUGCAUCUUCCUGGCCAUGUUCUUGUACAAUGUGAUUGCCGGGGUGAUCCUGCUCACGUGCGCAAUCUUUGUCGGCGACUCAAACUUCGGCAUCCUGAUCCUCAUCCUUCUAGUGAUCGCAUACUUGGUCGGGUUCAUGUACAUGACCGCAGUGUGGCAAUUGGCGAGCGUGGUCUCCGUCCUGGAGGAAGAUUACGGGGUCAAGGCCAUGAUCAAGAGCAAGAACCUGAUAAAGGGCAAGAUAAUUGUGUCCAUAAUCAUAUUCUUCAAGCUCAGCACAUCCUUACACCUAGUUCAAUUCGCGUUCGAGAAGUUGGUCGUUUAUGGCCGCUCGGCAGGGACAUUAGGCAGGUGUGGCUAUGGAGUUCUGUGUUUCUUUCUUCUUUCCAUGCUGAUGGUGUUCGGGCUCGUCGUCCAGACGGUGAUCUACUUCGUCUGCAAGUCGUACCACCACGAGAACAUCGACAAGUCGGCGCUGUCGGAUCAUCUCGAGGUCUAUCUCGGAGAGUAUGUUCCUCUCAAAUCCAAGGAUGUUCAGCUUGAGCAAUACGACAUUUGACUCAUUGUUCGUGUUCUUCUUAUCCUUGUUCCUUUUUCUGUUUUUCUUCUGUGGGACGAGAUAUUUUGAUACUUGAUAACUUAUGCACUAUAAAAAUAUCAAAGGAAAAAUAUAUUUUCUGCAUCUUUUUAGCCAGUAGCAAAUGGUUAAGUUAGAUGUAAGCUCUUAAUUUUGUUUAGAUAUAUGUAAUAAUUAAACCGUAGUCUAUUAUUUUUUGUGCCUGGUGUGGCUGAUUUGAGCCACCAUGUCUUACCCAAGGCGCGUUGACUUUGAAUAAUGGAGUUUUCCAAGUAAUUACGCGAUGCACG
Molecule: long non-coding RNA, 15592 nt
Filed under: Eucalyptus grandis
Lineage: Eukaryota; Viridiplantae; Streptophyta; Magnoliopsida; Myrtales; Myrtaceae
Description: long non-coding RNA (EGRA_LNC003910)
Source: RNAcentral